UGAGGCUCCAUGACUCCCCGUGU
Molecule: non-coding RNA, 23 nt
Filed under: Rattus norvegicus (Norway rat)
Lineage: Eukaryota; Metazoa; Chordata; Mammalia; Rodentia; Muridae
Source: RNAcentral